AUCCAGCUGACGAGUCUCAAAUAGGACGAAACACAGAUCCUGGAU
Molecule: non-coding RNA, 45 nt
Filed under: Schistosoma mattheei
Lineage: Eukaryota; Metazoa; Platyhelminthes; Trematoda; Strigeidida; Schistosomatidae
Source: RNAcentral